ACCAUUUGUUGAUCACAUGCACGGUCUUUAUCUCUGAGAAGAUAAACUAUUUACUUGAAUCCUGAACUUUCGGGAGCUUCAUUUAGAAGCUCUCGGAUCUGUGAGAAGAAAGAUGCUACAUCCAUUAUUUCCAGUUUUGGAGGCCCCCAGAGCAUCAUGCAGAUAAGUCUGGAACCAGACUUACCCAACUUUGUGCCCUUUGGUAUUAGGGGUGCCAGAGUAUAAAGGGACAGGGCACAAGAGAAGAUGGGAGCAGACUUGGAGCUGCUGCUGAAUUCCACCACCCCAGGUGGCAACACCUGGAGAAGAUCCAAUAGCAUCCCUCUGACUAGUGGAUUUGGGUGUUGCCCAUGUUCCUGGCGUGCGGAGAUCCUGCCCUCCGCCUGGUGGAGAUGGGGAGUGGGAUGGGCUCGCCAGGCGGAGAACACUCCUUCCAGCCCAGGAUGACACACACCUGACCCUGCAUGUCUUCUAGCAGUCCAUCUGGACCCGAAAGCAGCAAAACCAAUUGGUGUGCAGCAUGAUUUCUUGCUAAUUUCACCCCAUCCCUUACCCACUCCUUUGAAGAAAAUGAGCGUGCCCUGCACUCUGCCUUCAGAUCUUCUGCCAUGAGCAAUUUUGCACACUCGAAAUGGAAAUGUUUAGCAAUCAAAUAGCCUUGGGCCUUUUAUAUAUUUGUUUUUAUGUGCACAAAAAUUUUAGGUACCACAGAAACUUGAUUUCGUAAAUUAUGUGUUCUCAAUGGGUAAUAGUUUCCCCUUAAGAGGAAGAAAAUUGGUUGCUGAUGACUUUUGAAAAAAGCUUGCUCUUUCAAUAUAUAAAGCACAGGUACACAUAUGGUAUAUAUAAACAGAUACACAGUGCACAUAUGACAUUAAAAUUUGGUAAGUGGCAAGUGAUUGGGGGAAAAUUGUCUAAAAAAGGCUCUGUAGAAGUCAGAUAAUGGAAAAUAAUUAGAAGUUCUGCAGUAAAUGAGAGGUAACUAUUUCUUACACAUAUCUGAAGGUCUGGCAUUACUAAAGCUCAUUAUUGCUCGAAGCUUUAACAUGAAAUUUUGGGGCUUGGGGUGCAGUUUAUUGUUAGAACACUUAGUUAACACAUGAUGCCGUAGGUUAGGUCCCCAUCACCAUACACAGAACACAAAAAAGACCUUGGCACUGACAUCCAGCUAUCUUAAGGUUUUCUAAGUAGUAUAAGGUUUUCUAGCUAUUAUAAAGAGCCUGAAAAAUGCAUUCACUUCAUGUUAUUUACUUUGUUUCUCCUUCGGGCAUCAUAUCAAUAGUUAGUUGUAAUGUAAAUAUUUUGUAGACUAUCAGCAAGAGUUAAGAAACUGAUCCCCCCAACAAAUCUACAAAAUGACAUAAUGACAGAGCUACUACAAGGAACCAAUGUCUCCUAGCUCCUAAAAACUAGUGUUCUGUCCACUACUGAGCAAUAUCUAAGCUGAUUAAACUAAUGCAGCUUUCAAGUCAUUUGAGGCAAGGGAGAAUAUAUUGUCACAAAAUGUAAAACAAACUAUGAUUGACCAAAAAAAAAGAGCACAUGAGCUUUUUAAAAUAAGCAAAUGAAAAACUAAAGGCAACUGGCAUGUUGUGUGGAGCAUAGUCACAUUUUAUAAAUUCAAGAUUUUGCUCUAGUCCUGCUGUGGGCCUGAAAGAAUUGUUAGGGGAUCCACACUGCCAGUAGAAGAGAGGAAAAAAAAGGAGAAUGUUGGGAGUUUUAUUCCUCUUGGGGUAAGCGUAUCUGGGAUCAUUGAACCCCAGGGCCUUAGCACAUGCUAGGAAAGUGCUCUAUCACAGAGCUACACCCAGGCUGGUAGAGGCUGGUUUUAUUGGAAGGCUUUCUGAAAAGAAACAGGCUGCAGACAGAUAAUGUAGGUUAUAUGCUGUGGAAAUGCAUGGAUCCUGCUUAAUGUAUUAAAUAGUCCAGGGAGGGAAUGUUCUAGACCUAUUUCUCUAAUCCCCAAAGUCCUGAAAGCAAGCAGAGAGCUCAGUUAUCCCCUCAUACAUUGCUUUGUUGUAUAAUAGUUUUGAAAUUUUUUUAAAAAAUCAUAUUACAGUGUACAAAGUUGCAUCUGGUAGCUUAAAAUCAUGACACAUUGCAUUCAUUCAUAGAGGUAGGUGAAGCUUAACAGCAUACUUAUCUGGUAGGAGCUAAAUACGUAGAAAUAGCAAAGUAGACCAAUUAUAGGGAAUUGGACCUAUACGACAGAAGUAACAUAGGAAUGGUGUAUAUAGCCUUCCUGAGAUCAGGAAACUUGCCCAACUGAUCUGAGGACAUACUUUUUGUUGUUGUAGCAAGCUUAGGGUGUCUUUAGAGAAACUAUUUGGAAGCAAGAAAAAUAAAACUGUAGGGUCGUAUUACACAUAGUCUUAGAGGAAUUCAUUUUCAUCUCAAUUCUUUACAGUUGCCUAUGUACAAUACUCAUUUUUUCUCACUUUCCCUUUCUUGGGCCUCUAGUACUUGGUGUCUUGCCACUUUCUAAAUUGUACCUGGUGUGAAAGUAUCCUAUCUGCAGCUUACUAAAUACUGUUGCACCUCUGUCAAGUAAUUUUCUAAUUCAAUAAAAGUGCCAAUGUCAAA
Chinchilla lanigera (long-tailed chinchilla) is the source of this 2583-nucleotide long non-coding RNA. RefSeq lists it as uncharacterized. The record is from RefSeq and is a predicted model, not a curated record. Lineage: Eukaryota; Metazoa; Chordata; Mammalia; Rodentia; Chinchillidae. The transcript is spliced from 4 exons.